GGAGGAAAAGGAACCAACCGGGAUUGCCUUAGUAACGGCGAGUGAAGCGGCAAAAGCUCAAAUUUGAAAUCUGGUACCUUCGGUGCCCGAGUUGUAAUUUGGAGAGGGCAACUUUGGGGCCGUUCCUUGUCUAUGUUCCUUGGAACAGGACGUCAUAGAGGGUGAGAAUCCCGUGUGGCGAGGAGUGCGGUUCUUUGUAAAGUGCCUUCGAAGAGUCGAGUUGUUUGGGAAUGCAGCUCUAAGUGGGUGGUAAAUUCCAUCUAAAGCUAAAUAUUGGCGAGAGACCGAUAGCGAACAAGUACAGUGAUGGAAAGAUGAAAAGAACUUUGAAAAGAGAGUGAAAAAGUACGUGAAAUUGUUGAAAGGGAAGGGCAUUUGAUCAGACAUGGUGUUUUGUGCCCUCUGCUCCUUGUGGGUAGGGGAAUCUCGCAUUUCACUGGGCCAGCAUCAGUUUUGGUGGCAGGAUAAAUCCAUAGGAAUGUAGCUUGCCUCGGUAAGUAUUAUAGCCUGUGGGAAUACUGCCAGCUGGGACUGAGGACUGCGACGUAAGUCAAGGAUGC
Molecule: ribosomal RNA, 560 nt
Filed under: Saccharomyces cerevisiae (brewer's yeast)
Lineage: Eukaryota; Fungi; Ascomycota; Saccharomycetes; Saccharomycetales; Saccharomycetaceae
Description: eukaryotic LSU rRNA
Rfam family: Eukaryotic large subunit ribosomal RNA
Source: RNAcentral